UACGGAGGGUGCUAGCGUUGUUCGGAAUCACUGGGCGUAAAGCGCGUGUAGGCGGUCUGCUAAGUCUGAUGUGAAAGCCCGGGGCUCACCCCCGGAAGUGCAUUGGAAACUGGCAGACUGGAGUCCCGGAGAGGAGGGUGGAAUUCCUGGUGUAGCGGUGAAAUGCGUAGAUAUCGGGAGGAACACCUGAGGCGAAGGCGGGCUACUGGGCCGAUACUGACGCUGAGGCGCGAAAGCCAGGGGAGCGAACGGG
RNAcentral lists this ribosomal RNA (253 nucleotides) under uncultured bacterium. Its description in RNAcentral is "partial 16S ribosomal RNA". It matches the Rfam family "Bacterial small subunit ribosomal RNA", at positions 524 to 776 of the family's 1533-position model. The record is from RNAcentral.